RNA transcript from Dalotia coriaria, 2594 nucleotides. It is a transcript of the gene named sodium-dependent nutrient amino acid transporter 1-like, with no coding region annotated. NCBI's taxonomy places the organism in Eukaryota, Metazoa, Arthropoda, Insecta, Coleoptera, Staphylinidae. The transcript is spliced from 8 exons. The record is from RefSeq and is a predicted model, not a curated record.
ACAUUUUUUACUUUCGUGACUAUACGUUGACAUUCUGCCAAGACAAACAAAUAUAAAAACAUCAUUUGCAUAUUAUAUUGAUAAAUCAUAAAAAAAUCGAAUUGAAUUCAAGAUGAAGCAGCGUUUAACAUUUUUCAAGCCGCUCGCUACACGAAAAGGUGUUUUCGUGCCGGAAACGCCGUAUGAAGGAAACAAGAACUUGUUGAAAUUUGUAGAAGAGCACUACAAAUGUGCACAAUCCGAUUUACUAAAUGUAAAAAAAAGAAAACUCGACCAAGGGCAGCACAAAUUAUCCAUACCUCGUCUGAAAUCUGGAGAUGAAAGUGACGAUGUACCAGCAGGAUUUUUCCUUACUAUAAUAUUCAGUAUUCAGGGCAGCAUUCAUGACAUAACAAAAUAUCUAACUCUCUAUUCAAAAUUCGGCCCAUGGAUGGCCCUUUUACUUUUUGCAUGCAUAUACGUUUUCAUAGCAAUGCCAUUAUACAUGGUGUUCUUUUUUCUAAGCAAUUACACGCGCUUUGGAUAUAUGAAAAUAUGGUCAGCUGUUCCAAUCUUAAAAGGCGUUAGUUUUUCAGUAGCUAUGCUAAAUUUUGUUUCGUGUAUCCUUAACAUGUCGCUUGUAACACUACACAUCGUAUUCAUGUGUGGAGCAUUUACCAAUUGGUUGGAGUGUGGUUAUCCGUAUGAAGAAGGCACCGAAUGCCUAUCAAAUCAGACGAAUUUCUGUACUGAGAGAAACAUGUCAAUGCCGCAAGUUGGCACCUAUGUAUUUAUGAAACACGUAGUCACUUCGAAAUUCGGUGAUGUUAUUAAUUUCUAUUGGAUUUUAAUCCUAUUUGUAAUGUACACCCUGCUGGUGUUGGGCGAGUUGUAUGCCAGGAGAGUACUAGCACCCAUUUGUCGAUUAACAACUAUAAUGUGGGGCUUGAUUUUCAUUACAAUUAUUUUAUAUGAAGGAUUUUACGGUACCACGUAUACUUUAACAGCACAGACCUCCGGAACUAUUUCAACUAUACUUCAACCACCUUUUUGGGUUGCUUGUGCAAAACUAUCACUCCGGCGUGUCAUGCCUGGUGAUUUAGUAACAUAUGGAUCUAUCACAAUGGCUGGUAUGAAUCCAAUAACAAUGGCGGUUCUAAUGGCUUUAAUGCGUAUUGUGUUUACAACAACAGUUGCAAAUUUCUACGUUAUCUCAUUGAAUCGUUUUAUUACAUACCACAACAUUAAAUAUGCUGACUGCGUUGAAGUUAAUGGAUUAACAAUACUCUUUUGUUUGAUACCAGACCAACUCCUUCAAAUCGAUGCUACCAAAAUAACAUACUUCCUGUACCUUUUAUUUUCAAUUUACAUGGGUUCAAUGUCAACGUUUCUAAGCAUACAUGGUUUUUUAACAGCCAUUACCGGAGACUAUCCAGAUACCAAAGAAUAUAGAACCACUGUGGUGAUAAUCAUAUGCGUGAUUAUGUUUCUUGCAAAUAUAGUUGUUGUUGGAGUUGGUUUCGAAUUUCUCUUCUUCGAAGAUUUGAAAGUUUUCAUCGCGCCAUUACUAACAUAUUGUUGCGUUGCAUUUUUCAUGACUUCUUAUUCUCCACUACGAAUUGCGAAUGAUUUUUACUUUGCAUUCGGGCGAAGGCUUCCAACUUAUUGGAAUACUUUAAUGAAAUUAUACGUUAUUUUUGUAUCAGCAAUUUCAACUAUUUAUAUCAUGUAUGAGAUGCAUAAUAUGCCUGUAGAUGGAUCCGUAUGGGCUAAUAUUGUAGCUCUACUUUUGAUUUUGACACCAAUUGUACUGUUUGCAAUCAUACGAAUACAUUUAGCGCGAAAGAACAAAAAGAAAAUCAGUAUGAUACAGCCUGGAAAAGGAUGGGGAUCACCUGAUGCAGCAACUCGUGCGGCUCGUAUAUCGUUCGAUGCUAAACGAGAAUGCAGGAUGAGAAUGGAACUUCGUUGUCAUCAUGAAUGCUUGGUAGAAUCUAAAACAUGUCAGGAUUUUCUUACGAAAGAAAUGGACAAGUAUUUCAUGAAUCGCAAUCGAUAUGUGGUUCGAAUGUCAAAAGAAAAAGAAGAAUAAGAUAUAAACAUUUUAGUUUUAUGUGAAAUUAAAAUCAUUUCUCAAUGAUUUGUGAAUGUAAAAGAUUUUAAUGCAGAAUCACUUUAAACUGAAGCAAAAGUUAUUAUAAAACGGGUUUAUUUCACAACAUCGGUGUGUAAAUAAGAUUCGCUGUUGUUGGAAGAUAGUGAAACUAAAAACAAAAAUAAUCCCUAACCUGCCAAUUGUUGAAUACCGAUUAAUCGACAAAUAAAGUCUAUGACAACGACACCACACAUUAUUACAAUCUUGUAUUGAAUAAUUAUUAUUUAAAGAAAGAUCACAACACAACCUAACUGAACAGGUAUCCGACGGUUACCGCGCGAAAUUCUCCAGCACUCCGACAAGCGCAAUAUAGCCAGGGCGAUUUUAUGCAAGUUAUAGAACUGGUGGCGCUCUCUCUGAGCAAUCCAGUGAGUUUAAUUUGAUUCCUGCCAAGUAGUUACCAUCAAAAGGAGGAUUUUAUAGUAAAAUAGCCCACAGUUUGAUAAAUUCAUUAUCCAGA